UAGGGAAUCUUCGGCAAUGGGGGGAACCCUGACCGAGCAACGCCGCGUGAGUGAAGAAGGUUUUCGGAUCGUAAAGCUCUGUUGUUAAGGAAGAACGAGUGUGAGAAUGGAAAGUUCAUGCUGUGACGGUACUUAACCAGAAAGGGACGGCUAACUACGUACCAGCAGCCGCGGUAAUACGUAGGUGGCAAGCGUUGUCCGGAUUUAUUGGGCGUAAAGCGAGCGCAGGCGGUCAAUUAAGUCUGAUGUGAAAGCCCCCGGCUCAACCGGGGAGGGUCAUUGGAAACUGGUUGACUUGAGUGCAGAAGAGGAGAGUGGAAUUCCAUGUGUAGCGGUGAAAUGCGUAGAUAUAUGGAGGAACACCAGUGGCGAAGGCGACUCUCUGGUCUGUAACUGACGCUGAGGCUCGAAAGCGUGGGUAGCAAACAGG
Molecule: ribosomal RNA, 430 nt
Filed under: Bacteroidota bacterium
Lineage: Bacteria; Pseudomonadati; Bacteroidota
Description: Bacteroidetes bacterium partial 16S ribosomal RNA
Rfam family: Bacterial small subunit ribosomal RNA
Source: RNAcentral